RNAcentral lists this long non-coding RNA (449 nucleotides) under Medicago truncatula (barrel medic). Its description in RNAcentral is "long non-coding RNA (MTRU_LNC008112)". The record is from RNAcentral. Lineage: Eukaryota; Viridiplantae; Streptophyta; Magnoliopsida; Fabales; Fabaceae.
ACACAUAAUAGCAAUUCACGCUUUGAAUAAUAAAUAGGUGCAGCAAGGAAUGAAAAUUAUUAGAAGAUAGUGAGUUUAGGCAUGUGUUGUUUCAAUGGAAGAUUGUUGUUUGCAUGGUGUUCUUGUUGAUUGAUAGCAUUAAUUUGCUGGAAAACACGUUAGAUAGGUGAACUUGGAGAAAUAAUCAUGAUUGUGAAUUCUCCAAAAGACUUACCGGUUGCUGAAGUCCGAGUCCAACAUCCCUUUGAAUUAUUUCAUGUUGAAUAAAAUUGUUCUAUUGAGAAGAAGAAUCCGAAGAAUGUUGAUGAAGAAUUGGAAUUGGUGAAAGUGAAUUAUAGUGAAGGUGUAGAGAUGAAGAUCUAAGAUGAAGAUGAUGAGGGCAUUUUUGUCUAUUCUCAUGCCAUUUUGUUAAUUUGAUGACGUGACAGUAAUUAACUGGGCUCAGGGAC